UGCUGCAGUGCUGAAGGCUUCCCUGUGGCUUAUGUCUGGGUUGCUUGCUUUAAUCCUUCGUAUCUCUUCCCUAAGACAACACAUGCACCAUUUCAAUACUAGUUUGUAUAAAACUAAAUUUUUUGUACUUAGAAAUAAACCAUAGUACAACAUACACCCUUCUCUAAUUUCCAAAGUAUAAGUUGUUUUAGUUUUGUCCUAACUCAAAGAUUCUUUAACUUUGACCAAGUUUAUGAAAAACUACAUAAGCAUCUAUACCGUACCAAACGAAAUUCAUUAGAUAUACCAUGGAACAUAUUUUGGUAAAACAUAUUUCAUUAGAUACACUAUGGAAUAUAUUUUGAUAGUGUAUUUAUUUGGUAUUGUAGAUGCGCUAUGUAUCAUACUUUCUAUAAACUUGGUCAAAGCUAGAUAAGUUUGACUUAGGACAAAACUAAAAUAACCUACAAUUUAAAUUGGAGGGAGUAUAUAAUAGAAAUGAAAUUAGAUCGGUCCAACUCACUUAAUAAAUCUGUUAUAUGCUGAAGGAACACGUUGCCUCUUCUCUGGAGCUGUUGUUUAUUGCAAACACCAGACACAUGAAGUUAUUAGGACAUACUAGAUAUGCAUAUUUUUAUAAAACUCUCUUUGUUAAAAAAAUAUAAUAGAGUUAAAUAAUAGU
Molecule: long non-coding RNA, 661 nt
Filed under: Sorghum bicolor (sorghum)
Lineage: Eukaryota; Viridiplantae; Streptophyta; Magnoliopsida; Poales; Poaceae
Description: long non-coding RNA (SBIC_LNC000203)
Source: RNAcentral